AUGCUUAACCAAAAAGGAGAACGAACAAAACGUGGAAAAAUAAAAGCGUAUUAUAAUGAAGUAGAAACAGGUAACUCUAAAUAUCUUAAGUAUGAACCUUGUAACACUGUGACUGAGUUAAAUAACAUCAGUAACACUAGUAAUAGUAGCAGUAGUAGUAAAAGUAGUAGUAGUAGUAGUAGUAGUAAUGACGAUGAUGAUAAAUCAAAUAGACUUACUAGUACAGAUAACCAGAUGUUACAACAACAAGGAAAAGUAACAGAAGAAACAAGAAAGAGUGUCAAACUAGAUCAUAAUGUAACGACUAACUCUAAUAUGACUGUAAAUGAAUAUAAUAUAUCACAGGAUUUUAUAUUACCUUAUUACUCUGAUAUUUCGUCUUACUCUUCUGCUAAUUCUGAACUAACAUAUACAUCUGAAUCGACUGACUUUUAUUUGGAUAAUGUCGAAGAGUCUUUAGAAUCAGUUUACACAAAUGAAAUAUGUGAUCAUAAAAUGAGAGUAAAAAAAGAGAGAAAAAAAGUUAAGCAACAACAAAAGAACAGUAAGAGAAACAACAAAGUAAAACGAAAAAAUAAAAAAAGUGUGACCGAAUUAAAACACAAUGAAAAUACAGAAUAUAAAGACAUUAAUACAAAAUUAGUUCAUAAAAAUGAAGAAAACACUUUAAUGAAUACGAUGGUUCAGACCAAACAAACAAAAAAUUUAAAUGUUUCAUCUGUUAAUGUAAUUAAUAACAGUCUUAUUAAUGAUGUUAAUAAUCAACAAAUAAUAAAAAAUGAUAUGCCAUUAAACGAUUAUCACCCUGUUUAUAAUAACAACAUAAUCAUUAGUACUAGCAAUUUAAACCAACAAAACAAUGACAAUUCAAUUGGAUUAACAUAUGACUAUAAUAAUGGCACACAAAAUAACAAAAUAAAUCCUAACAAUGUAGGUUUUAUACAUGGUCAUCAUGAUUGCGAACAGAGUAGUCAGAUAUUUAACUCUCCUGAAAAAAAUAUUAUUAUGUAUAAUAAAGACAAUACAACGCAAGGAGUUUUAAACCAACAACAACAGCAAGACAGUAUUAAUAACUACAAUGGUGAAAAUACAUGUUUUGCCAUUCAAGCUAAUCAAACAGAUAUGAAUCAUUGUCAUAUAAAUGAAACCGUAAAUAAGUUUAGUAAAAACGUCGGAACAGUUGUGAAUGAAAAUAAUAGUGAGAAGGGUGUACAAGAUGUUAUACCAAAUGAGUCUGCAGACAUUAAACCAAGUGUAAAUAUUCUAGUUGAUUUAAGUGUUGGUAAAACAAUAAAUGUUACACAGAAUAUAACUAAAGACAUAAACAAUGUCACCAAUGGGCAUAAUAGAAUGCUUAAUAAUUGUACAAAUAAUAAUAUGAGACAUGAUCAUGAUUAUGUAUUUGAUGACAGAGAAAAAAGUAAAACACACGAAGAAUACCAAGAUGUAAGUACGACAGACAAUGUAAAAAAUAUAUGUAGUAAUGACAUGCUGUUAAAAACAAAUAGAUCGACCAUGAAAAAUAAAAAUAGCAACAGUGGUGAUAGUGGUGAUAGUGGUGAUAGUGGCGAAAGUGGCAACAGUGGCAACAGUGGCAACAGCGACGACAGUGGCGAUAGUAAAAAAAACAAAAAGUCGCAUAAAAACAUAAGAAAUAUCAGAAGCAAUAAAAAAACACAAAUUAUUACCAAAUGGGGAGGAAUAGCAGAUAAAAAAGAACCAGUAUUACCACUUUAUAUCAUAUGUGAUUAUUCAGAUUUUGUAGAAAGUAAAAUAUAUGUUAAUAAAUUUCGAUUUAAAUUGUAUGAUCCGCUUUAUCAAUUAGGUAAAUAUAGGAAUUGUGCUGGUGUCAUUUUAAAAAAUAACUUAAAAAAAAACUCACUUAAUUAUAUAGAUUCUUAUUUUCUGUUUUUAAAAAAAGAACUAUAUCAAAUAGACUUAGAUAUAGAUAUCAGAUGUCCAUGUAAACUAAUUUUUAAACAUGUAUGUUAUAAAAUGAACAUAGACCCAACACAUGUAUUGAUAUAUCCUUAUCCUCCAUUAAAUAUGUCAGUUAAUUUUAGUCCAUAUAAUAUAGACUCAUUUACAUAUGCCUCUAAUGCUAAUACAGGUACAAAUAUCAACAACAUGAAUAACAAUAACAAUAAUAUAAACAAAGGUGAUAAUCAUUAUAUUGCUAAUAAUAGUGAUGACCCAGAUAAUUCAGACAAUCAACUCAUAGAUAAUAAAUAUGGUAAUAAUGCAUAUUUAAAAUUAGAAACCUUUGAGCAAUUAAUAAAAAAACAUGCUAUGCUAAUAGAACAUAAUUCUAUAACAGAACAAAAAACUUUUUGUUUGUCAUUAUUACCAUUUCAUUAUAAAUACUAUAAUAGAUUAUAUCCACCUGAAAAACCCAAAUAUUUUUACUAUAUAAUUCAGUUAUUUAAUUCACAUGUUCAGUCAGUAGCUUCAUUUAGUGGUCAUAUUCAAUUACAAAAAAAAAUGAACAACAAGGUAAAAUCGAGUAUUCUUAAGUAUGGUCAAAAAAGAGAUAAUCAAAGUAGUGGCACAAGUAACAGCAACACUCAUAGUAGUGGUAGUGACAGCAGUAAAGAAAGUAACGGCAGCAACAGUACCAACAGUACAGACAGUAGCUAUAGUAGCAGUGAUAGUGAUUCUCUUACCAGUUCAGACUCAUCUGAUAGUAUAGCAAUCCAUAAAAAUCAUAUAAAAAAUAAGUACACAACAGCACAAGAUCUGAUUGAUAAAAUAAAAUUAGAAAUGAAUCCAUAUUUAAAAAAAAGAGGUAUAAAUGCAAAACAAAAAUUUAGGUUGUUAUUUACAUACGGACCUAAAAUCAAAUAUAUAGAUACGGAUGAACAACUAAUAGCAAUGGACUUUGUCAAAACGAAUCAAAUAAAAAACGCUUACAUCACUCCUUUAAGAAUGGAACCAGAUUUUACUGAUGAAGAAAAGCAGAAAAUAGAAACUGAUAAGUUGAAGAUAAUCCACGUUUUUAAUCAAACACCAUCGAAGGAUGUUUUCGGUUACAGUUUUGACGUUCUCGUAGAGGUAAGGAACAUACCAAAUGCGUACCUACAUGCGUAUAUACAUACAUGCGCACUUACCUGUGUACAUACAUACAUACAUACAUACUUACGUACGUAUAUACAUAUUACUUAUUUUAUUUUAUUUUAUUUUAUUUUUUUUUGUACCAUAUAGCCAAAUGAUAAUAUGUUAGACAUUAAAAAUAAAAUAAGAAAAAGGACACUACUACCUAAGUAC
Molecule: long non-coding RNA, 3264 nt
Filed under: Piliocolobus tephrosceles (Ugandan red Colobus)
Lineage: Eukaryota; Metazoa; Chordata; Mammalia; Primates; Cercopithecidae
Description: lncRNA (ENSPTEG00000011384.1)
Source: RNAcentral